This 31-nucleotide non-coding RNA is filed under the name Rattus norvegicus (Norway rat). The record is from RNAcentral. Lineage: Eukaryota; Metazoa; Chordata; Mammalia; Rodentia; Muridae.
GUUAGGUAUUUAUAUUGCUUUAAGAAUGGUC